RNAcentral lists this ribosomal RNA (1518 nucleotides) under Glaesserella parasuis. RNAcentral describes it as "partial 23S ribosomal RNA". Lineage: Bacteria; Pseudomonadati; Pseudomonadota; Gammaproteobacteria; Pasteurellales; Pasteurellaceae. The record is from RNAcentral.
AGUUAAGUGACUAAGCGUACACGGUGGAUGCCUAGGCAAUCAGAGGCGAAGAAGGACGUGCUAAUCUGCGAAAAGCUUGGAUGAGUUGAUAAGAAGCGUUUAAUCCAAGAUAUCCGAAUGGGGAAACCCAGUAGAUGAAGAAUCUACUAUCACUUGUUGAAUACAUAGGCAAGUGAAGCAAACCGGGAGAACUGAAACAUCUAAGUACCCCGAGGAAAAGAAAUCAACCGAGAUUUUGUAAGUAGCGGCGAGCGAAAGCGAAAGAGCCAGUGAGUGAUARCAGCAAAGACAGAAGAAUUGGCUGGGAAGCCAAGCGACACAGGGUGAUAGCCCCGUAUUCGAAGUUUUUGUUGUGGUACUAAGCUUGCAACAAGUAGGGCGGGACACGAGAAAUCCUGUUUGAAGAUGGGGGGACCAUCCUCCAAGGCUAAAUACUCCUGAUUGACCGAUAGUGAACCAGUACUGUGAAGGAAAGGCGAAAAGAACCCCAGUGAGGGGAGUGAAAUAGAACCUGAAACCGUGUACGUACAAGCAGUGGGAGCCCGAAAGGGUGACUGCGUACCUUUUGUAUAAUGGGUCAGCGACUUAUAUUUUGUAGCGAGGUUAACUGAAUAAGGGAGCCGAAGGGAAACCGAGUCUUAACUGGGCGGAUAGUUGCAAGGUAUAGACCCGAAACCCGGUGAUCUAGCCAUGGGCAGGUUGAAGGUUGGGUAACACUAACUGGAGGACCGAACCGACUAAUGUUGAAAAAUUAGCGGAUGACUUGUGGCUGGGGGUGAAAGGCCAAUCAAACCGGGAGAUAGCUGGUUCUCCCCGAAAUCUAUUUAGGUAGAGCCUUAUGUGAAUACCUUCGGGGGUAGAGCACUGUUUCGGCUAGGGGUCCAUCCCGGAUUACCAACCCGAUGCAAACUGCGAAUACCGAAGAGUAAUGCAUAGGAGACACACGGUGGGUGCUAACGUCCAUCGUGGAGAGGGAAACAACCCAGACCGCCAGCUAAGGUCCCAAAGUCUAUAUUAAGUGGGAAACGAAGUGGGAAGGCUUAGACAGCUAGGAUGUUGGCUUAGAAGCAGCCAUCAUUUAAAGAAAGCGUAAUAGCUCACUAGUCGAGUCGGCCUGCGCGGAAGAUGUAACGGGGCUAAAAUAUAGCACCGAAGCUGCGGCAUCAGGCGUAUCACUAAUACGCCUUAAGAUUAACAACAUCGAAUGAAGUGAAACGGAAAGAGAUGUUGGUCAAGCAACCCGAACGUUGAGUCGGAAAGUAAUCGAAGAGAGGAUUAUUAGUGAUACGUCUGUUGGGUAGGGGAGCGUUGUGUAAGCGGAUGAAGGUGAAUCGAGAGGUUUGCUGGACGUAUCACAAGUGCGAAUGCUGACAUAAGUAACGAUAAAACGAGUGAAAAACUCGUUCGCCGGAAGACCAAGGGUUCCUGUCCAACGUUAAUCGGGGCAGGGUGAGUCGGCCCCUAAGGCGAGGCUGAAAAGCGUAGUCGAUGGGAAACGGGUUAAUAUUCCCGUACUUG